Macaca mulatta (Rhesus monkey) is the source of this 3252-nucleotide non-coding RNA. Lineage: Eukaryota; Metazoa; Chordata; Mammalia; Primates; Cercopithecidae. The record is from RefSeq and is a predicted model, not a curated record.
CUCAGCCUCCCAAAGUGCCAGGAUUAUAGGCGUAAGCCACCAGGCCUGGCCUCAUUCUCUUUUUUAGACCUGUGGACGUCUUAUUUCUAAACCCCUACUGCUGCAGGAAUGUCUUUCUUCCUUCUUUCUAUCUAUUCAAAUCCUCUCCUUUAUUCAUUUAUUCAGUCAUUCAGUCUGAAUGGGGUCAGUCCGUCAUUAAACAUGUGUUGAGUACUUACUGUGUGGCAGGCAACUGGUCUAAGGUUUGAGAUUACAGUACUGAAGGGAAUAUCCCUGCCUUUAAGGAAUCUAGCUGGGGCACACCCUAGUUGGAAAGCAGAUAUGUUCACUCCAGGAAAGGUAAGAAAUAAUGUUGUGAAGGUAUGAGUAUAAUGCCUUGGGAACAUGGGGCAAGGGAAGACUGACUCUAUGUGAAGGGGCCUCUGCCAUUAUUCUACCCCAAUUAUACAUCAAUUGCCUUUUUUUUUUCUUUAUUUUUGCCUCCUAUUAACAUAUAAAGAUGGCCACACACAACAGAAACCGUAAGUGUAUAUACUGCUCGCUAUCAUUGGAUAAAUGCCAGGAUGUGGGUAUAAGUAGCUAUAUCUAGCCAGAAAGGACCAAGGCAAUCUAAUCAAGCAGAAUAUGUUAAUGAGGUACCUCAGGUUUAUCCAGAAAAGUGAGUUAUGCUUAGGGGUAUAGGAUGAGUAAUUUCUUCACCAACAAACUUUAGAAGGGACCUAAUGCAGGGUUUUAAAAUCUUGCUUGCAUGCCAGAAUUAUCUGGGGAACAUUUGAAAAAUACAGAUGACUAAGCCCAAUCCUAGACUUAUAGAAGCACGAUGUUUUAAAAUAAAGUGCAGGAAUAUGGAUUUUUAAGUAUUACAUGGGUGAUUCUAAUGAUUAGCUAGUAACGGUUGGGAAGUGCUGGUCUAUUUUGUGCCAACAUUUGCAGAACACUGAGAACACGGACAUGAAUAAAAUACUGUCGAUUCUACUCCUGCCUUAUAAGACAGGUCUCUAUCCUGGAAAACCUGCCAGUCAGGUGGAAGGGACAGGCAAGGAAAUAUACAAAACCAGAUAUCUUAGAGAAAUAGAUAUAAAGUGAGGUUGCAACACAGAGAUAGAAAGGACCAACUCACUCUUGGGAAAAGCAGGAAGUUUCUUAGAAUAUGGUGCAUUUGAGAUGAGAUAUAAAGGACUUGGGGGUUUCUCAAAUGAAGGGGGUGAGAAAAGACAUUCCAAGCGUAGACUUGAGCCUCUGGCUCCCACUGGACUUAGCCAGCAAGUCUAAGAGGUGCCUGAGUUAUAAAGAUUGGGGUACUUAUACUCUGGAGCCAGGCUCUUAGAUGUGUCUGAGGUGGAAACUGAUGUUCAUCAUUUAUGUCACUAAUUUACACCUGUUUCAUAUAUCAUUUUCAUUUCAUUCAAUCAGACAUUUCCUGGGUGCCUUUGUACCUAGGAGACAUUCUCAAACAGAAUUUGCAAUGGGAACACACAAGAUGGACAAAAAUUCUCUCGAAUUUGAAGCCCAAGAAAAACUUCCUGAGAAAGAUGAUGCUAAAGUUAGUCUUAAAAGUUAGAGUUCUCAUAAAAAUGAGAAAAGGCGGAAAAGGGCUGAAUUGUUUUGCGAGUAUUACACAAUGCAUGGAGAUGAGAGUGAAUUCUACACAUGCAAGGACCUUCAUGUCCUAUGAGGCUGGACCAUGGCAUUGGGUAAGAGAUGGUGGCUAUGAAUUAGCCUGGGGAGGAAGGUCUGUUUCAGGCUGUUAAAAGAUUUCUUAUGCUCUGCUGGAGUCUGAACUUCAUGUAGGCGGCCUUGGGAAACCCUAAUUAUUUAAUGCAGGGCAGAUGAGGUCUGAUUUACUUUUCCAAAAGGUCAUUCUGAGCACAUAUAUCUUUUUUUUUUUCAGCAGAAUUGUAAACAUCCUCUCAACAGACAUCACAUCUUGAUUCAUUUCUUUUUGUUUCACCAGCAAGUGCUUAGCAGAAAACUAAAUCCUGGUAGAUAAAGGGGAAGACCUAAAGGAAGACAAGACAAGGGACUAAGGAAAUGUUGGGGAAGAUGAGAACACACUCAGAAACCACAACUGAAGAAUUCCUAGGACUCCCAGGAAAGGGGCAUAUCCAGAAAGGAGAUAAGAUCGGAAGCCUUUAUUUCCACCAUUCAGUCACUCACUGCCUGAGACUUCAUUUCAAGUAAGGGGAUAAUAUUUGGCCCCUAUGUAUCUUACAAGGGUUGUUUCCCUAAGAAAAAAAAUUAGGUAAGAUCAUAAGUGAGAAAGGAGUUUUUGAAUUAAAUAUAUAUACAAAUGCAAGUUAUAACAAUUUUUGUUCUGGAUAUUUUUGCAGCAGAUAGAAAAGUUCUUUGUGCUGUGGCCACCUGCCUAAUGCUGUUGACUGGCUGGUAAUAGAUGCCUGGGAGUCAUUUUGAGGUUACUUAGAGCCUCUUUCCACCACCAGAUGGAAGGAAAUUGGGCAACUUCUUGAGUAAUUGGCUCUUCUGACUCACGUUUCUUGCAUUGUGACCUGGGUGCUACCCAGGAUGAGCAAGGAAUUUCCUCUCUGGAGUUGUUUAAGGAAUAGCCCUAAACAUUCAGCUUCAUCUUUUUUUAAUGCCUCCUCUAACACUAUCUGAGCAGCCACAGAAAAGUAUUUGCUGCUGCCGUAUUUCAGAUCAGCUGAGAUAUAUUUUGAGUAAGUACUCUGGGAAAGGCACAGAAUACCAUUUCUUUACUGAGGUUCUCUUCAAGGAUUUCCAUCCCCCCUUAAAGACCUAAUUGGGAUGGAGCAAUGUAUUUAGAACAUGAUGUGAGUACCAACAAGGAGUCAGGAGACACCUUUCAGCUGUACUUCUUUAUUCUUCCCCCCUUGCUUCCUCUGUCUCCGGUUUGCCCUUUUACAUCUCUUCUUUUUCCUUUCUUUUCUUGUAAUACUUUCUCUUGAUCAAUAGACCUGCCGUAGCCUUCCCAGACAUAAAUUAUCAGCUUCCUUAGAAGGCCUCGGAAUGUGAACAGUUGUAGCCAGUUAGUCCAGGUCUUAGAUUCUCACCCCUUGCUGUGUAUGUAAUUAUCCAGGGAGCUUAAAAGGUACUGAGCCAUGGGCCCCAAUGGAAUCAUUAUUCCUGGGGGGUGGGAUGGGCCCUAGACCUGGUAUUUUCAAAAACUUUCAAAAAUGAUUCUAAAACAUAUGCAGGUUAAACUGGUUGCAGACACCCAGGAAGCAAAAAUAUGACAAAACUACCCUAAAAGUAAAAUAAGAUUUUUGGCUCAAA